Molecule: long non-coding RNA, 1977 nt
Filed under: Heterocephalus glaber (naked mole-rat)
Lineage: Eukaryota; Metazoa; Chordata; Mammalia; Rodentia; Bathyergidae
Description: lncRNA (ENSHGLG00100038720.1)
Source: RNAcentral
GCCCUGCUUUCCCAAGCAUGCAGGACCCUGGCUCCCAGCGCUGCCUCCUCAGCCCUCGGCCUUCGCCCAAGGUUCCCUACCUCAAUAGCUGUCCUGGAACUAGGGACUCCCCCACCCAGGGCUCCAGAGAUGUGAGAUGCACCGGGGCCUGGGUGGGGCCUUGGGGCUCCCUGUUUUCCCCUUCCAGCCCCAGAGCCUCUCAAAUUCCCAGAGGUGCCCUCCAGCCGGGGAGGGUGGGGCUGCUCCUGGGAUCAUGCAGAGUCACAGCUGCUGAGUGACGGGGCUGUGGCGGCGGCCUUCCACCACUCCGGGGCUCCCCGUCCAGCCUACCUGUCCCAGCACCUGUUCCGCCCACUUGUGAUGCUCAGUAAGGGGGGGGGGGGGCAGAUGGCCGCCAGGGGCCGCGUGCUGGCACCUGUGAGCUGGGAAUCGAGAUUCCGGAUUCCGUGUAGGGAGAUGUGAGGCGGGAGAGAAAAGGGAGUCAGAAGAGGGGACACCAAGGAGGAAGAGGGCAUCAAGAGGCAGAGGAGGAGUGUAAGCGUGGAGGGAGAGGGCCUGAGCGCCACGGGGUAGGAGCACCGACGGCGGGGGAGGGCGGGGGGGAGAGACCUUACCGACAGAGCCAGGGCUCUCUCCAGCCGCGCCUGCCUCCUGGUCUCCCAGCCUUCAGUCCCACCCCAAGAGCCCUCGGGGUCUCGCGGAAGGCGGCUGCGCUGGGGGAAAGUCCCGGGCAGAGGCAGGGUGGCCAAGGCGCGGUGCGGGUGCUGGCGGGGCUGGAAGGGGCUGGAAGGGAGCGGUGGGUCCAGAGCGCAAACUCGGGGCUGGAAGUCACCAGCAUCUUCUCCUCUGGCUGCCAGCUCCUGUCCUACCCGAGAGGAACCUGGAGAGCUGGGUCCGGAAGCGGCCGGGGGCCUUGGACCCUAAACGUCAAGGCUGGGGGUACUGGCAGGGGCAGUGCCCACCGACUCGGGCCUCGCCACUGGAGCCGCCUGAGGGACUGCGUUUGGCCCCAACGUACCUGGGCCUCCGGAAUGGGCCCCAGGUAGGCUCUGGUUCCCGGAACUCCGCACUGCAGACUUCGGGCGCCCCGAGCUCUCCGCCCGCAUUCUGGGGGGCGCCUGGCCGUGGCACGUGCGCCUCCACCUGGGUCCUCCCCGCGGCUCCGAGGUCCCUGCGCCCCGAGCCGGGUCCUGCGAGAGGUGCCCCGCAUCCGGGCAGAGGCCACGCAGCCCGGCUCCGGCUCCCGCUCCAAGCCAGCCGCCCCAGGCCCCACCCCUGCUCCUCGGGCCCCCUCCCUGCUCCCCGGCUCCGGCGCAGUCCGACCCUAGGGCCCGGCCUCGGCGCAGGAACCGGACCGUGGCGCCGGCCGCCGAGUGGUCUGUGCUGCUGCGCGCGCUCGCGGGGCCGGACAGGGACGCCGCGCAAGCCUGCGCAGUGGCCGCCAUCCUGGUGCCGGGCGACUACAGCAGCGUGGAGCUGGGCGCCGACCUGGCCCUGCUGCGCCUCGCCUCGACAGCCAGGCUGGGCCCCGCCGUGCAUCCGUCGGCCUGCCCCGCGCCGCCCACCGCUUCUUGCCCGGCGCCGCCUGCUGGGCCAACGCCUGGGUGCCGCCCAGGAGGCGGGUUUAGAUCCGACUAGAGUGCCCGGCCCAGCUGUACUUCAGACCAAUCAUUUCACCCAGUACAUUUCCUCCCCUGUAAAGUGGGGUCACCCGGGCGUGGUGGCGCACGCCUCUGGUCCCAGCACUUGGGAGGCUGAGGCAGGAGGAUCACCGCGAGUUCGAGGCCAGCCUGGGCUACAUAGUGAGUUUAAGGCCGCCUUGAACUACAUAAUGAGACCUUAUGGGUAGGUUAAAUGAAAAAAAUCCACCUGCAACUUGUAGCACAGUGCCUAGCAUCGCCAUACUUAAUGUGUUCUGGGCAUGUUUUGUUUUGUUUUGGUACCGGGGAUCGAACUCAGGACUUUGCGCUUGUGGGG